Molecule: non-coding RNA, 26 nt
Filed under: Homo sapiens (human)
Lineage: Eukaryota; Metazoa; Chordata; Mammalia; Primates; Hominidae
Source: RNAcentral
UGAGUAGAGCCGUGGUUGGUGACAGC